GCCAAGAGCAGAAGCUCAGCAGGUAGAGCAGGAGACUCUUAAUUGUAGGGUUGUGGGUUCGAGCCCCACAUUGGGCA
Molecule: non-coding RNA, 77 nt
Organism: Podarcis lilfordi (Lilford's wall lizard)
Lineage: Eukaryota; Metazoa; Chordata; Lepidosauria; Squamata; Lacertidae
Source: the annotation of a GenBank genome assembly